This 460-nucleotide ribosomal RNA is filed under the name uncultured bacterium. Its description in RNAcentral is "partial 16S ribosomal RNA". It matches the Rfam family "Bacterial small subunit ribosomal RNA", at positions 338 to 795 of the family's 1533-position model. The record is from RNAcentral.
CCUACGGGAGGCUGCAGUGAGGAAUAUUGGUCAAUGGACGAGAGUCUGAACCAGCCAAGUAGCGUGAAGGAUGACUGCCCUAUGGGUUGUAAACUUCUUUUAUAUGGGAAUAAAAUGUUCCACGUGUGGGAUUUUGUAUGUACCAUAUGAAUAAGGAACGUCUAACUCCGUUCCAGCAGCCGCGGUAAUACGGAGGAUCCGUGCGUUAGCCGGAUUUGUUGGUUUUAAAGGGAGCUUAGGUGGAUUGUUAAGUCAGUUGUGAAAGUUUGCGGCUCAACCGUAAAAUUGCAGUUGAAACUGGCAGUCUUGAGUACAAUAGAGGUGAGCGGAAUUCGUGGUGUAGCGGUGAAAUGCUUAGAUAUCACGAAGAACUCCGAUGGCGAAGGCAGCUCACUGGACUGAAACUGACACUGAGGAUCGAAAGUGUGGGUAUCAAACAGGAUUAGAUACCCGUGUAGUC